This 203-nucleotide unclassified non-coding RNA is filed under the name Mycobacteroides abscessus subsp. massiliense. RNAcentral's name for it is "partial 16S-23S ribosomal RNA intergenic spacer". The record is from RNAcentral. Lineage: Bacteria; Bacillati; Actinomycetota; Actinomycetes; Mycobacteriales; Mycobacteriaceae.
UAGGCAUCUGUAGUGGAUAUCUACUUGGUGAAUAUGUUUUGUAAAUCCUGUCCACCCCGUGGAUGGGUAGUCGGCAAAACGUCGGACUGUCAUAAGAAUUGAAACGCUGGCACACUGUUGGGUCCUGAGGCAACACGUUGUGUUGUCACCCUGCUUGGUGGUGGGGUGUGGACUUUGACUUCUGGAUAGUGGUGCGAGCAUCA